RNAcentral lists this ribosomal RNA (116 nucleotides) under Aureococcus anophagefferens. RNAcentral describes it as "partial large subunit ribosomal RNA". Lineage: Eukaryota; Pelagophyceae; Pelagomonadales; Pelagomonadaceae. The record is from RNAcentral.
CCGAACGGCAGAAGUGGUGAUGGGCGCGUAUUUUCCGCCGGGCUCUUGGCCGGCGUACUUGUGCGCGUCCGUAGGUCAGCGUGGGUUGAGGCGUGGGAGUCGUUCAUGGGAAGGUC